This 237-nucleotide long non-coding RNA is filed under the name Setaria italica (foxtail millet). Its description in RNAcentral is "long non-coding RNA (SITA_LNC002600)". Lineage: Eukaryota; Viridiplantae; Streptophyta; Magnoliopsida; Poales; Poaceae. The record is from RNAcentral.
GCGUCGUCGGCGGGCAGCGGCGCCAUUAAUUGCGAAGUGGAAAGCAAAAUUGAGGAAGCGAAUCGCGGAAGGGUUUUGAAAUUUCGAACACGCCCGGUUGUGCCCGUGCCCGUGACGCCGUGACACAUUAGGAAGGGAAUUUCCAAAUUCAGCUGAGGGGAAAAUCACUUGUAAUCUUCUGGUGACGUAGCAUUAAUUUAGUUGCCUUAUUAAUUCAGAAGAAUAUAUGAAUUAACA